This 381-nucleotide ribosomal RNA is filed under the name Papuascincus sp. RNAcentral's name for it is "partial small subunit ribosomal RNA". It matches the Rfam family "Bacterial small subunit ribosomal RNA", at positions 794 to 1384 of the family's 1533-position model. The record is from RNAcentral. Lineage: Eukaryota; Metazoa; Chordata; Lepidosauria; Squamata; Scincidae.
GCUUAGCCCUAAACAUAGAUAUUUUAGUACCUUAAUAUCCGCCAGAGACUACAAGCGAAAAGCUAGAAACUCCAAGGACUUGGCGGUGCUUCAAACCAACCUAGAGGAGCCUGUCCUAUAAUCGAUACUCCACGUUCUACCUUACCCCCCUUAGCCUUCAGCCUAUAUACCGCCGUCGUCAGCUUACCUUAUGAAAGGAAUAAAGUAUGCAAAACAGUUAAUAACUAAAACGUCAGGUCAAGGUGUAGCACACGGGCGGGCAGAGAUGGGCUACAUUUUCAAAACCGAACACACGGAUAAUAUAUUGAAACAUAUAUUUGAAGGCGGAUUUAGUAGUAAAAUAAUUAAGAAAACUGUAUUGAAAGCUGCUCUGAAGCGCGC